RNAcentral lists this ribosomal RNA (448 nucleotides) under uncultured bacterium. RNAcentral's name for it is "bacterial SSU rRNA". It matches the Rfam family "Bacterial small subunit ribosomal RNA", at positions 96 to 562 of the family's 1533-position model. The record is from RNAcentral.
UGGCGGACGGGUGAGUAACGCGUGGGUAACCUGCCUUGUACAGGGGGAUAACAGCCAGAAAUGGUUGCUACUAUCCCAUAAGCCUUCAGUAUCGCAUGAGACAGCAGGAAAAGAUCUUUCGGUAUAAGAUGGACCCGCGUCUGAUUAGCUAGUUGGUAAGGUAACGGCUUACCAAGGCGACGAUCAGUAGCCGACUUGAGAGAGUGAUCGGCCACAUUGGGACUGAGACACGAUCCAACUCUAUACGGGAGGCAGCAGUGGGGAAUAUUGCACAAUGGGGGAAACCCUGAUGCAGCGACGCCGCGUGAAGGAAGAAGUAUUUCGGUACGUAAACUUCUAUCAGCAAGGAAGAAAAUGACGGUACUUGACUAAGAAGCCCCGGCUAACUACGUGCCAGCAGCCGCGGUAAUACGUAGGGGGCAAGCGUUAUCCGGAUUUACUGGGUGUA